RNAcentral lists this small RNA (394 nucleotides) under Histoplasma capsulatum var. duboisii H88. Its description in RNAcentral is "Histoplasma capsulatum H88 hypothetical RNA". Lineage: Eukaryota; Fungi; Ascomycota; Eurotiomycetes; Onygenales; Ajellomycetaceae. The record is from RNAcentral.
CUCUAGAUUCUGCUAUCCCCGUACCGUUCUCUUUUCGAUUCCGUUGAUUUGGUUAUUCUCUCAAGUUGAGCUCCCUUCUACAGGCGUUGUUAUGGUGGAGUGAGAAUCAGCGACGCUUCAGUUGGUGCAAAACGACGUGCAGGACCGAGUGUGGUAGACAUCUAUGAUAUCGACAUGAUGGCGUUAGAGACUCUCUCUCAACCACCAAUCAAUCGUAUUGAUUUGAGCGGUGAGUGGGAUGGUAACCCAGGAAGCGAAAUUGCUCUACACGCGAAGAUCGAGUUCAUCUCUGCGCCAAAUACAAGAUUACCUCUGCUUGACUUGAGCAAUGGUGUUGAGUUGUUACAUUAUGAUGGCCCGACCGAGAUGCCGGAGGAUUGCCCCUAUCACCUUG